RNAcentral lists this non-coding RNA (148 nucleotides) under Homo sapiens (human). The record is from Rfam by way of RNAcentral. Lineage: Eukaryota; Metazoa; Chordata; Mammalia; Primates; Hominidae.
GCUGGGUGUGGUGGCGCAUGCCUGUAAUCCCAGCUACUCAGGAGGCUGAGGCAGGAGAAUCGCUUGAACCCAGGAGGCAAAGAUUGCAGUGAGCCAAGAUUGCGCCACUGCACUCCAGCCUGGAUAACAGAGCAAGACUCUGUCUCAA